RNAcentral lists this ribosomal RNA (1068 nucleotides) under uncultured bacterium. RNAcentral describes it as "bacterial SSU rRNA". It matches the Rfam family "Bacterial small subunit ribosomal RNA", at positions 196 to 1270 of the family's 1533-position model. The record is from RNAcentral.
UCAAACUAAGGAUUUAUCGGUAACGGAUAGGGAUGCGUGACAUUAGAUAGUAGGCGGGGUAACGGCCCACCUAGUCUACGAUGUCUAGGGGUUCUGAGAGGAAGGUCCCCCACACUGGAACUGAGACACGGUCCAGACUCCUACGGGAGGCAGCAGUGAGGAAUAUUGGUCAAUGGUCGGAAGACUGAACCAGCCAAGUAGCGUGAAGGAUGAAGGUUCUAUGGAUUGUAAACUUCUUUUAUAUAGGAAUAAAACCUCCCACGUGUGGGAGCUUGUAUGUACUAUAUGAAUAAGCAUCGGCUAACUCCGUGCCAGCAGCCGCGGUAAUACGGAGGAUGCGAGCGUUAUCCGGAUUUAUUGGGUUUAAAGGGAGCGUAGACGGGAUGUUAAGUCAGCUGUGAAAGUUUGGGGCUCAACCUUAAAAUUGCAGUUGAUACUGGCGUCCUUGAGUGCGGUUGAGGUAUGUGGAAUUCGUGGUGUAGCGGUGAAAUGCUUAGAUAUCACGAAGAACUCCGAUUGCGAAGGCAGCAUACUAAGCCGCUACUGACGUUGAGGCUCGAAAGUGUGGGUAUCAAACAGGAUUAGAUACCCUGGUAGUCCACACGGUAAACGAUGAAUACUCGCUGUUGGCGAUAUAAUGUCAGCGGCCAAGCGAAAGCAUUAAGUAUUCCACCUGGGGAGUACGCCGGCAACGGUGAAACUCAAAGGAAUUGACGGGGGCCCGCACAAGCGGAGGAACAUGUGGUUUAAUUCGAUGAUACGCGAGGAACCUUACCCGGGCUUAAAUUGCACUGGACAGGCCAAGAGAUUGGUUUUUCUUCGGAUCAGUGUGAAGGUGCUGCAUGGUUGUCGUCAGCUCGUGCCGUGANGUGUCGGCUUAAGUGCCAUAACGAGCGCAACCCUUGCCUUUAGUUACUAACAGGUUAUGCUGAGGACUCUAGAGGGACUGCCAUCGUAAGAUGUGAGGAAGGUGGGGAUGACGUCAAAUCAGCACGGCCCUUACGUCCGGGGCUACACACGUGUUACAAUGGGAGGUACAGAAGGCUGCUACCCGGCGACGGGAUGCCA